Molecule: ribosomal RNA, 247 nt
Filed under: uncultured bacterium
Lineage: Bacteria
Description: partial 16S ribosomal RNA
Rfam family: Bacterial small subunit ribosomal RNA
Source: RNAcentral
AUACAGAGGGCUCGAGCGUUAAUCGGAAUCACUGGGCUUAAAGGGUGCGUAGGCGGACCCGUCAGUGUCUUGUGAAAUCCCACGGCUUAACCGUGGAACUGCAGGGCAUACUACGGGUCUUGAACCCGGCAGGGGCAAUCGGAACUCUAGGUGGAGCGGUGAAAUGCGUAGAUAUCUAGAGGAACGCCAAAGGCGAAGGCAGAUUGCUGGGCCGGUGUUGACGCUCAGGCACGAAAGCAUGGGUAGC